This is a long non-coding RNA of Perca fluviatilis (European perch), 572 nucleotides long. RefSeq lists it as uncharacterized. Lineage: Eukaryota; Metazoa; Chordata; Actinopteri; Perciformes; Percidae. The transcript has 3 exons. The record is from RefSeq and is a predicted model, not a curated record.
UCGGCACAACACCGGAAUUCAGAAGAAGAAGAAGAAGAAGAAGAAAAAGUCUCGUUGUUUGACUGGGAUGUGUGUCUGGCGGCGGGAUAGCUGUGCUGUUUGUUAUUAGUGAGUUUGAAGAAGACAGAGCUCCAGGAGCCCUCAGCAGACGUCAACCUGGCCACCGUAGCAGGAAAGAAGGGCAAGAAGGCCGAGGAGGAGCUGCCUGCAGCAAAAGUAGCAGCGGCAGCAGCAGCCACUGCCACAGCAGUAGCAGUGAAGGAGGAGGAGGAGGAGGAGCAGCCUGCAGCACCUCCUGCAGCAGAAGCAGCAGUGAAGAAGGAAGAGGAGGAGUAUGUGGUGGAGAAGGUUUUGGACCGCAGAGUGGUGAAGGGAAGAGUAGAGUUUCUGCUUAAAUGGAAGGGGUUCUCAGAUGAGGAGAACACAUGGGAGCCGCAAGACAACCUGGACUGCCCCGACCUUAUCGCUGAGUACAUGCAGAAACACAACGAGAAGGAGGAGAAGAAGAAGGAGGGCAAAAGGAAAGUUGUCAGUGAGGCCUCGAGAGACUCAGAGGAGCGAGGGAGCAAGAG